UAAUGUUCAAAGAACUCUUUAAAACGAUCCAGUAGAAAAAGUUGGCAAAGGGUACGAAUAGGUCGUUUACAGGUACGGAAAUCUAAACAGCCCAUUCAGCAUGUUUUAAAGCAGGAAUCUGGCAGAAGCUUAGGGAUGUUGUUUCUGGCAGCCUUAUGAUAUGGUUAUGCCAUUAAUGAUAACUGUUUCCACUGGUUUCAGACUUGCAUUCCUAUACAGUACGGCACCCUGUUUUCGUGGGGUACUUGACGAGCCCGUUGAAACUGCCCUUUGGCUAUCUACUCAGUUACCAGUCCAGGAAUCGUGGAGAAACUGUUGCGAUCCCUAGGACUCUCUUACCUGUUAUCAAGGGAAUGAAAGCAUGCACCCGUUUUGCUUCCUAAAGUAUAGAAAUGCUAAGCGUGCCAUUAAGUUAUAUGAAUAAAGAAAAAUUGAGUUGUAUUUGUCCUGAGAAUGUGUUUACAGUUUUGACCAGAAAAAUUCCAAAUCCUACUUUUUCACUUGAUGCAACUUGAAACACACUCGGCGUCCAGCUUUGAAAGUGCAUUUCGAGUGUUUGGAAUGUUGUGGAGUGUACUUCCAAUUAUGAAUCUCAAGACUCCUGCUCAGGGUGGCUUUGAAAAGCACACUUGAAUCUGGAGAAGCCACAAUGAGGGAGCAGUGAUAAAUGGUAUGCAGAAAGAGAAAAUAAUUUAACGGAAAAGAGACAGUAAGAGACAGCAAGAAGAUGGCUGUCUGUGAGACAGGAAGAGGGCUCUCACUAGAAAUGACCCAAUCAGGACCUUAACCUUGAACUUGGACGUCCCAGCCUCCAGAACUGUGAGAAGUAAAUGUUUGCAGUUUAAGCCACCCAGGCUGUGGUAUUUUCUUAUAGCAACCUGACUGGGCUAAUACUUGAAGGAAAGCGGACACAGAUAGAGACGUUCAGCAUGAACAGAAACAUGUAAAAUGAGCUCAUCAACAAAUAUUCCAAAACAUCGGAAAAGAUCUAAAGUUAAGUAUACAAUCAUAUAUGGGAAAAGUGGCUAUGAUAAGUUUAUAUAAGUUAUCAUGACUGCUGGCUUAUAUUUUCCAAGUUGUAGGUGGGGUUUCUUCUCUGGAUCAGAAUAGGUUCUUGGGGAAGGAGAAAAGAAAAUGAUCUACUCAACUUUCAACCAACAAAAGCUAGUGACAAGUAGAAUGAGCCCUUGGAGUCGAUUCCAUGAAUUCAACCUAAUUUGAAAGAAUAGUUGAAAAGUUUCUUUUACAUGUUUGAUGGUUGGUGGUGGGUUUUAACCAGCACAAAGCAACUCAAAUUUAUUAUCUUGUGAUUUUUUCUCAGUCAGAAAUCAAGGUACGUGCUUAGCUCGACUCCCUGCUUGAGAUCUCAACAGACCAACAUCACUGCACCGGCUGCCUGGGCUUUGGAGAGGAACUCACUUUCAAGCUCAUCCAGAUGCUACCACAAGACACGGAGCUCCAGGUCAGAUACAAAGGAUUUUACUAUAACAGCAAGCAGCAUGAGUAUGAUGUUGGCACUGGUUACCUUUGCCAACAAUUCCCAUGGAGCUGACAGAAAAUAGCCUACAUGUUUACUGAGCAUCCAGUGAGUUUGAUUCAUAGCCGAAGAACAUUGAUCUUGGGAAAUCUGCUGCUUUUCCAUUAAGCCUUGUCUUUGUUCUGGAAGGAUACAUCAUAUCAUCCUUUAAAGUUGUUUGCUUCCAAUACAGGCCUGAGAAAUGGCCCAGGUGUACGGCCCCGUUGGAGUCUCCAAACCCAGCAGAUUGCUGCAGUACGCUCCUGUACCACUCCUUCCAGUGGAAGAAGGCGGGGGGUAUCUCCCUGUAUCUGCCAGUUGUGGGGUCCCUGCUCGAAAAGCAGUGGCCCGACUGCCUUGGAUCAUGGUUUAAGAGAUCAUUUGAAUUCGAAGUAUAAAGAAAACCUGGAAUGACCGGAGCCCAGGAACAAGUACAGCCGCCUUUGGCUGUGAUUUCAUCAGUGGGUCUGGCUGUGAAUUUUUCAAGUGCUAGAAGCAAAUUAUCCUUUGAAGAGGCCAGUAGUAAGGAACCGAGGGCAGCCUCAAGCCAUUAGUCAGUGUGGCAUCCUGUAGGGAACUGGGUCCUACCAACAACCAGAUGUGUGAGCCUGCGAGCACAUCCGGUCCCAGCUGAACCUUGAAAUGGCUGCCACCUCAGACAGUGUCAUGGCUGCCGCCCAUCAGACGACCAAGCUCACCUGCAUGGGAUCCCUCACUCAGAGGGACUGUGAGCCAGUAAAUAAUAAUCAUGUUGUGUUUGAAUACACCAAUGCCAACAAUUCAACUAAGGGAGGACAAAGUCAUUACCUAAUGAAACAUACUUCUUCCUGAAAAAUGGCUGUCCUAGGAUCACUAAUUAGCCAGGACCUAUAAUAUAUAACAGCUGAAAAGCAAUGAAAACCAACACUAAAGAGCUAUAUGUGAGAUCCAGGCUUUGAAAUUCUGGGCUGUCAUCCUAAGCUCAGCUGCUGUCUCCUAAAACAUAGUUCCAGGGCUAUCAUUGAAUGAAAUACAGUUUACUUGGAUGUGCUUUAGUAUAAAAUUUUUCUUCCUCUGGCUGCUGAUUUUAUGUUCUGGAACUAACUGGAGCUCUGUUCAUAAUCUACCAGACACAGUUUGGGUUUACAGUACUUAGUUUUGAAGUUAGUGGCCAAGAUGGUCUCAUUUUGAAAAGUCUCUGAGAAGAUAAUUUUUGCAUUCGGAACAGCACUUGCAAAGUCUUUUCCAUAAGUUUUUAACUUGAAAGAGAGUACCCCUGGAAGAGAGGAAAACUUCCCUAAACACAGGAUCAGUGAGGAAAAGAGCAAGAAAUCUGGAUGUUCUGAGGACCUGUCGGUCAGUAAGAGUUACCUACUGGAGGUUUAAACUCUGACACUCUAUGGAACUGCAGUUACUGAGUUCGAUUUGAAUUCACUCGUCUGGCUUGUGUUGAGGUCCUCCUGAAAAAGGAUUUGUAUCAUGAAGCACUUCUCUAAAACUUGUUCCUGACUUUACUGAAAGGAUAUUGUUAAGGACACAUUUUGUUACACAGAACCCUCCUUGUGAUGAUUUUCAGAUAGGUUCCAUACCCAGCAUGGAGUCCAACAAGGGGCUUGAG
Long non-coding RNA from Mustela erminea (ermine), 3113 nucleotides. RefSeq lists it as uncharacterized. The record is from RefSeq and is a predicted model, not a curated record. Lineage: Eukaryota; Metazoa; Chordata; Mammalia; Carnivora; Mustelidae. The transcript has 10 exons.